Molecule: ribosomal RNA, 497 nt
Filed under: uncultured bacterium
Lineage: Bacteria
Description: partial 16S ribosomal RNA
Rfam family: Bacterial small subunit ribosomal RNA
Source: RNAcentral
GAUGAACGCUGGCGGCGUGCCUAAUACAUGCAAGUCGAGCGAACGGACGAGAAGCUUGCUUCUCUGAUGUUAGCGGCGGACGGGUGAGUAACACGUGGAUAACCUACCUAUAAGACUGGGAUAACUUCGGGAAACCGGAGCUAAUACUGGAUAAUAUUUUGAACCGCAUGGUUCAAAAGUGAAAGACGGUCUUGCUGUCACUUAUAGAUGGAUCCGCGCUGCAUUAGCUAGUUGGUAAGGUAACGGCUUACCAAGGCAACGAUGCAUAGCCGACCUGAGAGGGUGAUCGGCCACACUGGAACUGAGACACGGUCCAGACUCCUACGGGAGGCAGCAGUAGGGAAUCUUCCGCAAUGGGCGAAAGCCUGACGGAGCAACGCCGCGUGAGUGAUGAAGGUCCUCGGAUCGUAAAACUCUGUUAUUAGGGAAGAACAUAUGUGUAAGUAACUGUGCACAUCUUGACGGUACCUAAUCAGAAAGCCACGGCUAACUACGUG